RNAcentral lists this long non-coding RNA (1144 nucleotides) under Gallus gallus (chicken). RNAcentral describes it as "lncRNA (ENSGALG00010007444.1)". The record is from RNAcentral. Lineage: Eukaryota; Metazoa; Chordata; Aves; Galliformes; Phasianidae.
CGGCGCGGAGGGAGCUGCGCGCGGUGCUGCGGCUCCGAGGGCGGGGUGUCCCGCCGCCUCAGGGCUCGGUAUGGGGGGAGCGGGGGGGAUGAGUUUUGGGAGGGGAGUCGUGAGGCCUCUGGGAAAAAGCUCGGGAGAGCGUUGGCUCAUCAGGCUCCUCGAGGAUGUAUUCUUCAAAGAUAAUAAAGAUCAACAUGCAGUACUCGUUUAUCACUCACUCCACCUGGAAAUGACAGGACAGCAAUCAAUAUCCUUGCUUAACGGAGAGAUGUGCCUUACUCUUAGUUGCAUGGGUUUUUACAAAACAGCUGUAAAGACUUCUGGGAAGAGAGUAAAAUGUAUUACAGACAAUUCAUAACAGCACUGUGCAGAGAAGAGAGGUGGGCACUAACAGGCAACAGAAGUGAGUAUCAGGCUUUAAUUCAUUUUCAACUCAAAUUUUGUGCAGUCAGAAAAUUGCUUUCUUGUCUAACUGAAGCCUCUAAUUACUGUUGAACUACAGUCAGGAAUGCAGCGCUGGUAGCAAUGAAAAUAUUGCCCAGGCUGAAAUUCAGUAGGAGAGGUCUGGUGGAUGUUGGUCCUCACUUCCUGUCCUCCACUGCAAACUUAGCAGCUUCAGCUUCAGAGUGCUAGUAUAUGUAAGAAAAUUAGGAAGGAGUCAGACCAAAGAAAUGUCCACUUAGUGACUGGCCAAAGGCCCCUCAAGCCCACUAUUUUGUCUUCAGCAGCUGUCAAAAUCAACGCCAGGGGAAGAAUGUGACAGUGGAGCAAGCAUCAACUUCCCUUGUUUUUUUCCAGCUUCCAACAACUUGCCCAUCAAGGAUUUCAGACAGGCGCUAGACACAGCGCUUUCAUAUCUAACAGCCAGUGGCGGAUUUCCCUUUCCUGAACGUGUACAGCUGUAUUCUGAACACACUUUGAGAUCCCCUAUUGGCCAUAAACCUGGCCAUAAUUCUGCGAUGGCAAAUCCUGCUUAGUUUUGAAAAUUUCACAUUAAGCUGGCUGUCCCCCACUCUUCAACUUGUCAUAGGAAAGAGGGGGUGCUACGAAAUGAAAGCAUAACAUGAAGUAAAAGAAUUCCAUAAAUUCAAAAGAGUAAGAAAAGCAUUUCUGUUUAAAACUCACACAUUUUUCUAUUAAAAAG